ACUUUGAAACCGGACGCCUGUUCUGCCCGCUGAGCGCUGAGGAUUAUUCAGGAUCUGGCGCCCUCAGAAAGACAUGACUCAGGAAACACACAAAUAGGCCAAGCCAUUCAGGAUGCUGAUAUAGGCAAUCAUAGAGAGGUAGUGAUUCCUGACAUGAUGGUAUACCUCUCUGAGAAUGCUGAGCACUUCAUUACAAAUUACCAGGACAUUAAACUCAAUCCUGAUGACCUGAAACACCACCCACUGCAGAUGGCAGUCCUGUAGAAGUAGGGAUCGUUUUGGAGGGCAUGCAAUUGAUUGCUUGUUUACAAGUGUCCUGAAUGCAUGUGUCAUCUUGCUUGACAUGAUGUAUGUGGUCAGUCAGAACUAUCCAAAUCCAUUAAGUACAAAUGUAUUUUAAUGUGUUUUUUAAAUGCUAUUUCUUAAAA
This is a long non-coding RNA of Trichomycterus rosablanca, 428 nucleotides long. RefSeq lists it as uncharacterized. The transcript has 3 exons. The record is from RefSeq and is a predicted model, not a curated record. NCBI's taxonomy places the organism in Eukaryota, Metazoa, Chordata, Actinopteri, Siluriformes, Trichomycteridae.